GAUGAAGAACGUAGCGAAAUGCGAUAAGUAAUGUGAAUUGCAGAAUUCAGUGAAUCAUCGAAUCUUUGAACGCACAUUGCGCCCGCCAGUAUUCUGGCGGGCAUGCCUGUCUGAGCGUCAUUUCAACCCUCAUGCCCCUAGGGCGUGGUGUUGGGGAUCGGCCAAAGCCCGCGAGGGACGGCCGGCCCCUAAAUCUAGUGGCGGACCCGUCGUGGCCUCCUCUGCGAAGUAGUGAUAUUCCGCAUCGGAGAGCGAUGAGCCCCUGCCGUUAAACCCCCAACUUUCCAAGGUUGACCUCAGAUCAGGUAGGAAUACCCGCUGAACUUGAGCAUAUCAAUAAGCGGAGGA
RNAcentral lists this unclassified non-coding RNA (348 nucleotides) under soil metagenome. RNAcentral describes it as "partial contains 5.8S ribosomal RNA, internal transcribed spacer 2, and large subunit ribosomal RNA". The stretch from base 1 to 120 matches the Rfam family "5.8S ribosomal RNA", at positions 35 to 154 of the family's 154-position model. The record is from RNAcentral.